This 253-nucleotide ribosomal RNA is filed under the name uncultured bacterium. Its description in RNAcentral is "partial 16S ribosomal RNA". It matches the Rfam family "Bacterial small subunit ribosomal RNA", at positions 524 to 776 of the family's 1533-position model. The record is from RNAcentral.
UACGUAGGGUGCAAGCGUUGUCCGGAAUUAUUGGGCGUAAAGAGCUCGUAGGCGGUUUGUUGCGUCGGCUGUGAAAUCCCGAGGCUCAACCUCGGGUCUGCAGUCGAUACGAGCAAACUAGAGUGUUGCAGGGGAGACUGGAAUUCCUGGUGUAGUGGUGAAAUGCGCAGAUAUCAGGAGGAACACCGGUGGCGAAGGCGGGUCUCUGGGCAACAACUGACGCUGAGGAGCGAAAGCGUGGGGAGCGAACAGG